GUUUAUUUUGCUGCACAGAUGGAAUUUAGGAUAAGCCCUCAGCUAUGUGCUCUCUGAGAAAGUGUCUAGUGUGUGUUGGUGUAAGACACCUGGUAUCUUUAGACAGCAUGAGUCCCUUGUGAUUACUACAGGUUCUGCAAAGAACUAUUACUCUGGGCAAGGACUUUGUUGACAUUCCCUUUAGCAGAGACUCGAUGAUGUUCACAGCCACCAGCUCUUAGGAAAGGCUGUUGUGGGCAGCAGCACAGCUGGACGUUGCUUUACUUACUGAUGGGAGAUUCAUAAGGAUACUUGCUCUUACAGCCCACCUGCCCUGCUGGGAGGAUGCUGGGAAAACCUUGAGAGCCAUGUGCAGCUGUCUGGCCAGCAAUCCCAGCCUUGUUCCCAGCCAGCUGCCAGACCUGGGAGUGAGGAAGCCUUCCAGAAGACCCCAGCCUAGUCCCCAUCUGACAGCGACCUCAUGAGAUAUCCUGAGUGAGAUCUACCUGGCUGAGCCCAAUAAACCCAUGAAAACAUCAGAGAGAUGAGGUUUUGCCAUGUUGCCAAGGCUGGUCUCGAACUCCUGGGCUCGAGUGAUCUGCCUGCCUCUGCCUUCCAAAGUACUGAGAUUACAAGAGUGAGUCACCACAUCCAGUCGUCUUUUUCCUUUUUCUUUUAGAUUCUACAUCUUUUCUGGGGUCGUGCUGGUUAUACCAACCUUAUCUCAGCUACGUGAAGGAUUGUCGUGCUGGAGAAGACAUGUGUGGAGACCCACCUGACCAAAGCUCAACUUCAUGAACAUAAGAGCUGGAGGAACUGCCUUUCAGACUGUCCAGCUUGCUCAGAAAAGUGGCCUUCCUUUGGCUGGGAGACGGAUGAAGAAAUUGAAGCCCAGAAAAAUUAAGUAACUUGUCCAAAUCCAAACAGAUGAAUUAAAAUCUUGAUGACUGUUUAGUCGCUUGAAGACAUUUUGUGUAACAUUUCAGCUUCAAUAAGAAGACGGGAGCUCGAUGCAAGGAUGUUUUACUGGGAGCCUACAGUGGAGCUUAGAAAGUCAUGUUCUGGCUGGGUGCAGUGGCUUAUGCUUACAAUCCCAGCACUUUGGGAGGCCGAGGCCGGUGGAUCGCUUGAGCUCAGGAGUUCAAGACCAGCCUGGGCAACAUGGUGAAACUCCAUUUCUGCAAAAAGUACAAAAAAUUAGCCAGGUGUCAU
This is a long non-coding RNA of Nomascus leucogenys (northern white-cheeked gibbon), 1191 nucleotides long. RefSeq lists it as uncharacterized. The transcript has 5 exons. Lineage: Eukaryota; Metazoa; Chordata; Mammalia; Primates; Hylobatidae. The record is from RefSeq and is a predicted model, not a curated record.